UUGGAGGGCAAGUCUGGUGCCAGCAGCCGCGGUAAUUCCAGCUCCAAUAGCGUAUAUUAAAGUUGUUGCAGUUAAAAAGCUCGUAGUUGAAUUUCGGGGUUAGUAGGUUGGUCAUGCCUCUGGUAUGUACUGGUCUCACUGAUUCCUCCUUCCUGAUGAGCCGUAAUGCCAUUAAUUUGGUGUUGCGGGGAAUUUGGACUGUUACUUUGAAAAAAUUAGAGUGUUUAAAGCAAGCUAACGCUUGAAUACAUUAGCAUGGAAUAAUGAAAUAGGACGUUCGAUCCUAUUUUGUUGGUUUCUAGGAUUGACGUAAUGAUUAAUAGGGAUAGUUGGGGGCAUUAGUAUUCAAUUGUCAGAGGUGAAAUUCUUGGAUUUAUUGAAGACUAACUACCGCGAAAGCAUUUGCCAAGGAUGUUUUCAUUAAUCAAGAACGAAAGUUAGGGGAUCGAAGACGAUCAGAUACCGUCGUAGUCUUAACCAUAAACUAUGCCGACUAGGGAUCGGAUGAUGUUAAUUCUUUAAUGACUCAUUCGGCGCCUUACGGGAAAC
RNAcentral lists this ribosomal RNA (549 nucleotides) under uncultured Glomeromycotina. RNAcentral's name for it is "SSU rRNA". It matches the Rfam family "Eukaryotic small subunit ribosomal RNA", at positions 548 to 1098 of the family's 1831-position model. Lineage: Eukaryota; Fungi; Glomeromycota. The record is from RNAcentral.